This is a long non-coding RNA of Rosa chinensis, 963 nucleotides long. RefSeq lists it as uncharacterized. The transcript is spliced from 6 exons. The record is from RefSeq and is a predicted model, not a curated record. NCBI's taxonomy places the organism in Eukaryota, Viridiplantae, Streptophyta, Magnoliopsida, Rosales, Rosaceae.
ACCCUUUUCAGUUUUUCUUAUCCUUUAGCCGAGUAAACUUUCUCCCUCUCUCAUCUUUCCCUCACCUGCAAACCAAGAAAAACAGUAAGCCUCAAGUUCUCUGGUUAUUCUGGGAAAUAUAAAUUCUACAAAGAAUGGAUCUUCGAAUUUAGGUUUUGGUUCGACUUCCAGAGGAAAUAGCAGUUCAAGAAGCGGCUUAAAUUCAUCGUCGCGAAGCUUUCUUCUACAGAGGGGAACAGGAGGCUUACUAAAGAAACAGUUAGUCCUCAAAGUAUUUGGAUGGAAAUUAUUCUGGUGUUGAUUUAAUUGUUCUAGCUGCUAACUUUGCCGGCUGCAAUACUUUUACUAACAGAGUACUGUGAGAGUGUCUCAAGUGAGACUGAGAAUGUUGGUCUUCCUAUGAUCUUGUUACAUGGCUUUGGAGCCUCAGUUUUCUCUUGGAAUUGGGUUAUGAAGUUGUUCGCUAAGGUCAUUGGUUCCAAAGUUCUGGCAUUUUAUAGAUCGAAGUUUGGGUUGACACUUAUAUUCAAACUCUGUCAGGCAUUUAUCUUCUGGAAAUGGGGAAUCGAAAUCUGUGAAUCCGUACUCCAUGGCAUUUUCAGUGCUUGUUACCUUGUUUUUCAUUGAUUUUCUAGCAACUAAGAAGGCCAUUAUAGAGGGGCAUUCAGCUGGUUCUCUUGUAGCAGCUGAGUCAUAUUUUGAAGCACCAGAACGUGUGGCUGCUCUAAUCCUUAUUUUUAUCACAAGAAAAUUUUGAGAACUAGCCAAGACUUAUCAUGUCAACCGGAUACAAGUGAUGGCGAUUAGAGUUGGGUUUUCAAUUUGCAAAAUUAAUUCUUAUGCACAAGCUGUUAUUUAUUUCAAACUUAUAUGUUUAGAUUGUCAGUAUCUUCAGUAGGUUUACUUUGCAAUUUCAGAGCAAAUAUGUGGUUGGAUAGAUUGGCUCUAUCUUGUUGAAAUGUU